UUUUAAGUUCUGUAUAAUUUUUUAUUGGUUUUAUAUAAAAUAUAUAAAAAAACAAAAAUACACUUAGAAUAAUAUAAUGGGUAAAGAACACCAACAAUCACCCAACUUUCAAAAAAUAACAAAUCAAUCCUACUAACCUUUUUCCGUUAUAGAUGUAACGAAAAAGUGACUUGUCAUUUAACCAGCCACGUUGGAGUCCUUACUGUCAUUUAAUCGGCCACGUUGGAGGGUUUGUUGUCAUUUAAACAAUAGUAGAAGAGGAGGAGGAGGAGGAGAAGCCAAAUUCCUAAUAUGAAAGGUCGUUCGAUUAUACCAAGAAGGUGCAAAAAAGAAAAAAAAAUAGUACUAACUACUAACCAUUAGAGAUUGAAGAACAAAGAGAAGCAUUUGCAUCCAUAUCACCAAUAAGGCCGUCAUUUUGAUCACUAGCAAGGCUCUGCUAAAAACAUAUAAGAGAAGUCAAGACUCAUAAAUAGAGAGCAAAAAAAAAAAAGAGAGACAACUAAUCGAAAUCCAAGAAAAAAAAAAGAAGACUUUAUAGAGAUGAGAUAUAGCAAAAGAAAGACUAAAGAGGAAAGAGAGAAGUUUAGGUCUUCUUCUCCUGUAAUAACCAGGGCUCAUCCACACGAAAACAAGGGUCCCUGCCUCUUCAUCUCCACCCUUUGUCAACUAAUUGUAAUGACUCAACCCAAAAAAAGAGAGAGGAAAUCUAUAAAAGCCCCAGUUCCCAAUAGAACUUAACCCUAGAUCUAGAAAUCAUUAAGAAAAUCUAUAAAAUUGAGGUUGAUUCACAGAGGAAACAUCGUUAAGGAAAACUAUAAAAUUGUUAAGGAAGCUUACAAAUCAAUUGGAAGAUCUUCUUCACCAGGUUAAGUGACGGGAAGUUGGGAGGGGGUGAAUAAACGGUGAGGAAGGAAAAGUUUGGAUCUCUGGUAGUUUUUCUUGUUUCAGCAUCUCCAUUUCUUCUCUUCUUCUUCUCCUCCUCCUCCUUUUUAUUUUUCUUCCUCUUUUAUUGUUUUGUUUGGUUCUUAAAUUAGG
This 1038-nucleotide long non-coding RNA is filed under the name Gossypium barbadense (sea-island cotton). RNAcentral's name for it is "long non-coding RNA (GBAR_LNC017755)". Lineage: Eukaryota; Viridiplantae; Streptophyta; Magnoliopsida; Malvales; Malvaceae. The record is from RNAcentral.